AGGAUUUUCUUAGUAGCGGCGAGCGAAAAGAAAAUAGUUCAGCACUAAGUCACAUUAUCUUUAUGGUAAUUGUGAGAUGCAGUGUAUGGAAUAUCUUAAUAUCUAGCAUGAGAAGUUAACGAUUUAAGUCCUUCUUAAAUGAGGCCAUUUACCCAUAGAGGGUGCCAGGCCCGUAUAACGUUAAUGAUUACUAGAAAGAUAUUUCCAAAGAGUCGUGUUGCUUGAUAGUGCAGCACUAAGUGGGUGGUAAACUCCAUCUAAAACUAAAUAUAACCAUGAGACCGAUAGUAAACAAGUACCGUGAGGGAAAGUUGAAAAGAACUCUGAAUAGAGAGUUAAAUAGUACGUGAAACUGCUUAGAGGUUAAGCCCGAUGAACCUGAAUAUCCAUUAUGAAAAAUUCAUCAUUAUGACUUGUAUAUUUUCUUAAAUAUUGCAAGUAAUGGUGUGCAUUUUUUUCAUAUAAGGACAUUGUAAUCUAUUAACAACAAAUAAAUAUUUAUGAAAAGAUCACUGGCGUUUUAAGUUUAUUCAAAUUAAUUUGCUUUAAUUAGCAUAUUAACAUAGAAUAAAUGCUUGUGAUUUGAUAAAGUGUUGAUAGAUUUAUUUAUAUAUAAUGCUAAAAUACUUUAUGUAUUUUACAAUAACAUUAAAAUCUAUAUGAUUUUAGCGUUUAUUGUAUGCAUUUAUAUGAUUAACAAUGCGAAAGAUUCAGGAUACCUUCGGGACCCGUCUUGAAACACGGACCAAGGAGUCUAACAUAUGUGCAAGUCAUUGGGUUAUUUUUUAAACCUAAUUGCAUAAUUAACUUAACUUAUUUUAUAAUGGGAUUAAUUAUUAGUCUAAAAAAUUUUAGUCUUAUUAAUUCAAUCCCGGGGCGUUCUAUAUAGUUAUGUAUAAUGAUAUUUAUAUUAUUUAUACCUCUAACUGGAGCGUACCUUGAGCAUAUAUGCUGUGACCCGAAAGAUGGUGAACUAUACUUGAUCAGGUUGAAGUCAGGGGAAACCCUGAUGGAGGACCGAAGCAGUUCUGACGUGCAAAUCGAUUGUCAGAAUUGAGUAUAGGGGCGAAAGACCAAUCGAACCAU
Molecule: ribosomal RNA, 1086 nt
Filed under: Pyrgota undata
Lineage: Eukaryota; Metazoa; Arthropoda; Insecta; Diptera; Pyrgotidae
Description: eukaryotic LSU rRNA
Rfam family: Eukaryotic large subunit ribosomal RNA
Source: RNAcentral